Molecule: ribosomal RNA, 253 nt
Filed under: uncultured bacterium
Lineage: Bacteria
Description: partial 16S ribosomal RNA
Rfam family: Bacterial small subunit ribosomal RNA
Source: RNAcentral
UACGUAGGGCGCAAGCGUUGUCCGGAAUUAUUGGGCGUAAAGAGCUCGUAGGCGGCUUGUCACGUCGGGUGUGAAAGCCUGUGGCUCAACCACGGAAUUGCCUUCGAUACUGUCGAGCUUGAGACCGGAAGAGGUAAGUGGAACUGCGAGUGUAGAGGUGAAAUUCGUAGAUAUUCGCAAGAACACCAGUGGCGAAGGCGGCUUACUGGUCCGGUUCUGACGCUGAGGCGCGAAAGCGUGGGGAGCAAACAGG